This is a long non-coding RNA of Pezoporus flaviventris, 1045 nucleotides long. RefSeq lists it as uncharacterized. The record is from RefSeq and is a predicted model, not a curated record. The transcript is spliced from 3 exons. Lineage: Eukaryota; Metazoa; Chordata; Aves; Psittaciformes; Psittacidae.
UGAAGGGUGAUUUUAGUGUCGAUGUUGAUAUCAAUUUAUUUUUCUGACUAAGAGGAACAUGGAAACAGGACUGAGCAAUCCUUCUGGAUCACUGAAUUGACUCUCCUGCCAUGACAGCACUGCAACAUACAACUUUCCCCAUUAACAUAUAGUACCAAUUUUUUUAAAUCUAGCUCUUGUUUUUGGUCCCUGCUAUUCUCAUUAAAGGCUUCAGUGCCCUGGGGUAGCAGAUACUGUCUUCUAAAAACAAGGCCAAAUGUAUUCACUACCAGUUUGUACCCACCUGAUCAUGUGCCAGCAUCACUUCAGUGUAAACAGCUCUUCUCCUUUCUUGAUGUUAACCCCACAAUGUAUUUUACAGCAAGCACAUCCCUCUCAGCUUUCAUUUGCCAGACUAACCCAGUGAAGCUCUGAGAGUCCCCUCAAAGCUGGCCCCUAAUCCCCUCAUCCUACUAGAAUUGUACAGGCUAUUUCCUAGACUCACCAGCAUGUUGCGUAAGUGGCAAUAUUAUUUCCCUUGUUUUUUUGGGAAAAGCCUCCUGACAGCCUUUCUUUUCCUAAUUCUGGAAGGUCUGAGAAAAAGAAACUGAUGAGAAUUAUGCAGAGUGAGGAGGCUGUUUAAAAUACGCCUAUAGGCACCCGGCUGAUGGAGUGGCAACCCUUUCAACUGCUCAGACAGAACUGCUUGGCCAAGGAGAAGAGUGCUGGCCCUCUCAGUAAGGUGAAGUUCCAGUACAAGAAGAAAGAAUCAAGCACCUUUGUGCCUUGAUUCAUGAAGAUCUGACCACUAUCUUUUUGUCAGGCUGCGGCAACAUGAAGGUCAGGAUCUUUCUCAUGCACUGCGCUGCUUGGAGCAGAAAGCCACCACCAGAGAGAGCUAUUCCAGAUCUUUUGGUCAGAGAACACAAAGCUCGGAUUCGAGUACUGAAACAAACCUGUGGCUGUGUACUCAGUUACUCUCAGUGGUUCGGCACUACAUUCAUCUGAUAACGUUGCAAGUCAAGGCAAGAGUCUUCCUGAAGUGAUGCAGGGAAGUUUUCUAAAG